UGGGGAAUUUUGGGCAAUGGGGGAAACCCUGACCCAGCAACGCCGCGUGAAGGAUGAAGUAUUUCGGUAUGUAAACUUCGAAAGAAUAGGAAGAAUAAAUGACGGUACUAUUUAUAAGGUCCGGCUAACUACGUGCCAGCAGCCGCGGUAAUACGUAGGGACCAAGCGUUGUUCGGAUUUACUGGGCGUAAAGGGCGCGUAGGCGGCAUGACAAGUCACUUGUGAAAUCUCUGGGCUUAACCCAGAACGGCCAAGUGAUACUGUCGCGCUAGAGUGCAGAAGGGGCAAUCGGAAUUCUUGGUGUAGCGGUGAAAUGCGUAGAUAUCAAGAGGAACACCUGAGGUGAAGACGGGUUGCUGGGCUGACACUGACGCUGAGGCGCGAAAGCCAGGGGAGCAAACGGGAUUAGAUACCCCGGUAGUCCCUGAGCGGGCUGGCAAGGCGCAU
Molecule: ribosomal RNA, 447 nt
Filed under: uncultured bacterium
Lineage: Bacteria
Description: bacterial SSU rRNA
Rfam family: Bacterial small subunit ribosomal RNA
Source: RNAcentral